RNAcentral lists this ribosomal RNA (483 nucleotides) under uncultured bacterium. RNAcentral's name for it is "partial 16S ribosomal RNA". It matches the Rfam family "Bacterial small subunit ribosomal RNA", at positions 29 to 507 of the family's 1533-position model. The record is from RNAcentral.
UUGAACGCUGGCGGCAUGCUUUACACAUGCAAGUCGAACGGCAGCGCGGGCUUCGGCCUGGCGGCGAGUGGCGAACGGGUGAGUAAUGCAUCGGAACGUGCCCAGUAGUGGGGGAUAGCCCGGCGAAAGCCGGAUUAAUACCGCAUACGACCUGAGGGUGAAAGCGGGGGACCGAAAGGCCUCGCGCUAUUGGAGCGGCCGAUGUCGGAUUAGCUAGUUGGUGGGGUAAAGGCUUACCAAGGCGACGAUCCGUAGCUGGUCUGAGAGGACGACCAGCCACACUGGGACUGAGACACGGCCCAGACUCCUACGGGAGGCAGCAGUGGGGAAUUUUGGACAAUGGGGGCAACCCUGAUCCAGCCAUGCCGCGUGCGGGAAGAAGGCCUUCAGGUUGUAAACCGCUUUUGUUCGGGAAGAAAUCCUCUGGGCUAAUACCCCGGGGGGAUGACGGUACCGGAAGAAUAAGCACCGGCUAACUACGUG